This 253-nucleotide ribosomal RNA is filed under the name uncultured bacterium. RNAcentral's name for it is "partial 16S ribosomal RNA". It matches the Rfam family "Bacterial small subunit ribosomal RNA", at positions 524 to 776 of the family's 1533-position model. The record is from RNAcentral.
UACGGAGGGUGCAAGCGUUAUCCGGAAUCACUGGGUUUAAAGGGUGCGUAGGCGGCGUUAUAAGUCAGAGGUGAAAGCCCCCAGCUUAACUGGGGAACUGCCUUUGAUACUGUAGUGCUUGAAUCAGGUUGAGGUUAGCGGAAUGUGUCAUGUAGCGGUGAAAUGCAUAGAUAUGACAUAGAACACCAAUUGCGAAGGCAGCUGACUAGACCUGUAUUGACGCUGAGGCACGAAAGCGUGGGGAGCGAACAGG